RNAcentral lists this unclassified non-coding RNA (269 nucleotides) under uncultured fungus. Its description in RNAcentral is "partial contains small subunit ribosomal RNA, internal transcribed spacer 1, and 5.8S ribosomal RNA". The stretch from base 1 to 73 matches the Rfam family "Eukaryotic small subunit ribosomal RNA", at positions 1759 to 1831 of the family's 1831-position model. The record is from RNAcentral. Lineage: Eukaryota; Fungi.
ACAAACUUGGUCAUUUAGAGGAAGUAAAAGUCGUAACAAGGUUUCCGUAGGUGAACCUGCGGAAGGAUCAUUAACGGUUUUCGGGUGCCCUCGUGGCGCCCAAACCCCAACCCUGUGAUUUGACAACCUGUUUCUUUGCCGGCGCCUCUCGAGGCCCGGCAGAAGCCUACUCAAACUCGUUUAUAAUCAUGCCUUCUGAAUUAAAAAUUUAAUGAAUCAAAACUUUCAACAACGGAUCUCUUGGUUCUGGCAUCGAUGAAGAACGCAGC